This 373-nucleotide long non-coding RNA is filed under the name Mytilus galloprovincialis (Mediterranean mussel). Lineage: Eukaryota; Metazoa; Mollusca; Bivalvia; Mytilida; Mytilidae. The record is from RNAcentral.
AAAAAUUGUCAGUGGUUUUCGACCGAGUAACAUUUGAAACAGGAUUUCGUCGUCAUACAUGUUUAAUUCACAGUAAAGCUGCACUGGAAAAUUGUCACUUAAAAUGUCCCACCAGACUUCUCGCUGUGCAUUAGUACUUGGACAAUUGCAACAAGCGUGUACAUAAACAUCUUUAAAAUUCCUUGAACAUAAAUCACAUAUAUCACUUGUUGUAUUUGGUAUUUCAGUUAGUAAUUUAGUGAUUAAAAAAGAAUUUUUAAUCUCAUUAAAAGAAUUUGAGUGUUUCCAAAAUUCUGUAAUUGUCACUGACGUAUGAAUAUUCCUGAAACGUGUGAAGCUGUCAUCUGAAAUAACACGGUUUAACCAAUUGUUU